This is an RNA transcript of Vitis vinifera (wine grape), 6256 nucleotides long. It is a transcript of the gene named putative disease resistance RPP13-like protein 1, with no coding region annotated. The record is from RefSeq and is a predicted model, not a curated record. Lineage: Eukaryota; Viridiplantae; Streptophyta; Magnoliopsida; Vitales; Vitaceae. The transcript is spliced from 9 exons.
GUCAGGCAGUCACCACUCAAUUAUUGUGUUUGGCCAAAAAGUCAGCAUCUGGGUCCACCACCAUCAACGAUUCCUUCAAAGCCUAACGCACUUUGGCAAUAGAGGCCUGCCUUGACUCUUUGCUCUGCAGUUUGCUGCAGUGUUUGUGCAUUCUGCUUAUCUUCAUUUUUCCUGUAUUGAAUCUCGCUGAAUUCCUUUUGCAAUGGCGGACGCACUCCUCUCGGCUUCGCUUCAAGUUCUAUUCUACAGAUUGGCUUCUGCAGAGCUCAUCAACUUCAUCCGGGCACAAAAGCUCAGCCAUGAACUCCUCACCAACUUUAAGAGGAAAUUGCUGGUUGUCCACAAAGCGCUCAAUGAUGCGGAGAUGAAGCAAUUUUCAGACCCACUAGUUAAAGACUGGCUGGUCCAAGUUAAGGAUGUUGUGUAUCACGCGGAGGACCUGUUAGACGAGAUCGCUACCGACGCUUUGCGGUCCCAGAUCGAAGCUGCUGACUCCCAAGAUAGCGGAACUCAUCAGGUGUGGAACUGGAAAAAGGUCUCUGCUUGGGUUAAGGCUCCAUUUGCUAGUCAAAGUAUGGAGUCCAGGGUCAAGGGCUUGAUUUCUCUACUUGAAAACAUUGCACAAGAAAAAGUUGAGCUAGGGCUGAAAGAAGGUGAGGGCGAGAAACUGUCACCAAGAUCACCAUCCACUUCUCUGGUGGAUGAGUCCUUUGUGUACGGCAGGAAUGAAAUUAAAGAGGAGAUGGUGAAGUGGUUGCUUUCUGAUAAGGAAAAUGCAACAGGCAACAACAUAGAUGUGAUAUCCAUAAUGGGCAUGGGCGGCAGCGGCAAGACGACACUCGCUCAGCUUCUCUAUAACCAUGAUAGAGUGAAGCAACACUUCCACUUGAAAGCAUGGGUCUGUGUUUCCACCGAGUUUUUUCUAAUCGAGGAGGUAACAAAAUCAUUUCUUAAGGAAAUCGGUUCUGAAACUAAAUCAGACGACACCCUAAAUUUGCUUCAGCUUAAACUCAAAGAGAGCGUAGGUAACAAGAAAUUUCUGCUCGUUCUCGACGACGUCUGGGAUAUGAAGUCUCUUGAUUGGGAUGGCCUACGAAUUCCACUCCUCGCUGCAGCAGAGGGAAGCAAGAUUGUUGUGACCAGUCGUAGUGAAACUGCUGCAAAAAUCAUGCGUGCAAUCCGUAGUCAUCAUCUGGGGACAUUAAGCCCUGAAGAUAGUUGGUCCCUAUUUACAAAACUCGCAUUUCCAAAUGGAGAUUCCAGCGCUUAUCCUCAGCUUGAAACUAUUGGCAGAGAGAUUGUGGACAAGUGCCAAGGAUUGCCUUUGGCUGUAAAAGCACUCGGGAGCCUCUUGGACUCUAAGGCCGAUAAAAGAGAAUGGGAAGAUAUUUUGAACAGCAAAACAUGGCAUUCCCAGACUGAUCAUGAAAUUCUUCCAUCUUUUAGAUUGAGUUAUCAGCAUCUUUCUCCCCCUGUGAAGCGUUGUUUUGCUUACUGUUCAAUUUUUGCUAAGGACCAUGAAUUUGACAAAAAGAAGCUGAUUCUAUUAUGGAUGGCAGAAGGGCUUUUACACGCGGGACAAAGGGACGAAAGAAUGGAAGAGGUAGGUGAGUCAUGUUUUAAUGAGCUUGUAGCAAAGUCAUUUUUCCAAAAAUCUAUUACAAAAGAAUCAUGUUUUGUAAUACAUGAUUUAAUACAUGACUUGGCUCAACAUAUCUCAGGAGAAUUUUGUGUUCAAUUGGAACAGUAUAAGGUGCAAAAAAUAACUGAGAUGACUCGCCAUUUUCGCUACUCUAAUAGUGAUGAUGACAGGAUGGUUGUAUUUCAAAAGUUUGAGGCUGUUGGUGAAGCUAAACAUCUUAGAACCUUUCUGGACGAGAAGAAAUAUCCAUACUUCGGGUUUUAUACAUUGAGUAAAAGAGUUUUACAAAAUAUAUUACCAAAAUUUAAAUCCUUGCGUGUGUUGUCAUUGUGUGCAUACAAGAUAACUGAAGUGCCUGAUUCAAUACACAAUUUAACACAAUUGUGUUACUUGGAUAGUUGGAUCUCUCCUCAACACAGAUUCAAAGAUUACCUGAAUCAGUAUGUUGUUUAUGCAAUUUGCAAACAAUGAUACUGAGUAAACGCUGGAGUCUUCUUCAAUUGCCUUCAAAGAUGGGGAAGUUGAUUAAUUUGCGUUAUCUUGAUAUUAGCGGAGUUAUUUCAUUGAAAGAAAUGCCAAAUGAUAUAGAUCAAUUAAAAAGUUUACAACAAUUGCCUUAUGUCAUUGUGAGCCAAAAAAGUGGUUUCGGAAUUGAAGGAUUGAGGGAGUUUCCAGAGAUUCGAGGAAUACUUAAAAUCUCAAACAUGGAGAAUGUGGUGUGUGUUAAGGAUGCAUUGCAAGCAAAUAUGAAGGAUAAGAGAUACCUCGAUGAGUUAUCCCUCAAUUGGGACGAAAUGAUUAGCAAUGAUGUUAUACAAAGUGGUGCAAUAGAUGAUAUUCUCAACAAGUUACAACCUCAUCCAAAUUUAAAAAAACUCUCCAUCGUAAGCUAUCCUGGUGUAACAUUUCCUAAUUGGCUUGGAGAUCAUUCUUGAAUCUUGGGUCCCUUGAGCUUUCGGGUUGUGAGAAUUGCUCAACAUUGCCGCCACUUGGACAGCUACCUUGUCUUGAACAUCUAGAGAUCUCAAACAUGAAAGGAGUAGCGAGGGUGGGUAGUGAGUUUUAUGGGAAUUCUUUUUCCUCACUUCAGCCCUCCUUCCCAUCCCUGCAAACUCUUAUCAUUUUCAUUCAUGGACAAUUGGGAGAUAUGGUUAUGUUGUGGAGGCAGACAUGGAGAAUUCCCUCGUCUCCAGAAGCUUUUUAUGUGGAGCUGUCGCAAAUUCACUGGGGAAUUACUAAUACACCUUCCUUCAUUGAAGAAACUUUACCUUGAUAGAUGUCCGCAAUUGCUUGUGCCUACACUUAACGUUUCUGCUGCCUGUGGAUUGCAUUUGAAAAGGCAAGCUUGUGGGUUCACAGCUCUUCAAACUUCAGAUAUUGAAAUUUCAAACGUCUCUCAGUUGAAGCAACUUCCAGUGGUACCCCACAAUCUCUUCAUUAUAAAGUCUGAUUCCGUGGAGGAAAUCCUGCAAACCAACAUGUAUCGGUAUCGUUUAGAAAUUUGUUGCUGCUCUUUUUCCAGAUCCCCGAGCAAAGUUGGCUUACCCACUACAUUGAAAUUACUAUCAAUCUCUAACUGUACCAAAGUGGACCUUCUUCUACCUGUGUUGUUCAGAUGCCAUCACCCUGUCUUUAAAAGGCUAUGGAUCAAUGGUGGUACCUACGAUAAUUCUCUCCCGUUAUCCUUCUCAAUAUUGGACAUCUUCCCAAGGUUGACUGAGUUCAAAAUCAAUGAUCUUGAGGGGCUCGAGAAGCUCCGCAUUUCGAUUUCAGAGGGGGAUCCCACAUCUCUUCGUAAGUUAGAAAUUAGAAGGUGCCCUAAUCUUGUAUACAUCCAACUGCCCGCUGUCAACUCGAUGUACCAUGAGAUUUCCAAUUUCUCCACACAUUCAUCUCUGCAGCAACUGCGUUUAGAGGAUUGUCCAGAAGUGUUGUUUCAUGGAGAGGGUUUGCCUUCCAACCUACGUGAACUUCAAAUUUUUGGCUGCAACCAACUCGUGUCCCAGAUGGACUGGGAUUUGCAAAGUUUACCUCUCUUACUGAGUUCACAAUCCUAGGUGGAUGUGAAGAUGCAGAAUUAUUUCCCAAGGAGUGCCUGCUGCCCUCCUCUCUGACUUCUCUUAAAAUUGUAAAGCUUCCGAAUCUCAAGUCUCUUGACAGCAAGGGGCUUCAAAAACUCACCUCUCUUGUAAAAUUAUGGAUCAUGGAUUGCCCUGAACUCCAAUCCUUGACGGAAGCAGGUCUUCACCACCUCACCAGUCUUGAAAUCUUGAAUAUACACAAAUGCCCUAAACUCCAAUACUUGACAAAAGAGAGACUGCCAGACUCACUCUCUCAUCUGAAUGUCUGCGAGUGUCCUUCACUGGAACAACGUUGCCAAUUUGAGAAAGGGCCAGAAUGGCGUCAUAUAUCUCACAUUUCAAAAAUAGUGAUCGGUAAUGUGCUUUUUUGAUGAAAGUGGCACUGCACCAACAUUUAGUCAAGUAAUUGUUUUGUGCUUAAACCCAUUUUCUUUAGAAAAUUUAUGUUCCAAUUCAUAAAGUAGCCAACCAAAUUUCCAAUCUCAAGAAUAUAUCCGGAAAAUUCCUUGGUUCCGUUUAUUUGAUUUAAGAUUUUAUUCUUCUUUUGAAGCUUCAAGCCUGGGACGAAUAUUGAAGGGCUAUAAAUGAGGAUUCAACCUAGGUGCUCACAUUUUAACACAGGCAAUUCUCAUAUUUUAACGGCAUGGAGGAAACCAUGGAUGUAUUCAAGUUAACUACUUAUUAGUCUUGAUCUCCAUUUUGCAUUCAAAGGCCCUUGAUCUGCUCAACACUCAUGAAGAAUUGUACAUCUACACGGGUCAUUGGUUGGUCUGGUUGUUGGAGAUUUGGGCAGGCAACAAACUCUAUUUUUUUGACUUUAGAAGUUCUCCCACAAAGAAAAAAGGAGCAAAAGGAAGUUUGAUUCUAGUAACCAGGAUGAGCAUAGAAGACUUCUUACGAGGAACAAAUUAAGUUCGAUUAUGAUAAUAGCAGCCUGCAUUGAUUGGGAGUCUCUGUAACAAAAACUAGUCUAUUUUUGCACUAAGUGGUUGGCCUUUUAAAGGUCUUGACCAUGAUUAGGAAUUUCUGUAUAUUUUCUGUUGUCGUGGAGAUGAUCAUUGACAUCAAUGUCAUGGAUACCAUUUCAGUCUGUAGUUAUGGAUCACAAGAGAAGACAUAAAUCUUCUUAUGCUUGGUUCUCAUUUGCAGAAUUAUCAUUGGCAUGCCUGCACUUCUAUCAGCAAUGCCUGACGACAUUUGCAGCAUAGGCACCAGUGGCUGUGGCAGUGGGAUUUGUGGAUUUAACAGCUAUUGUAUUGUUUGAUGAAGAGGGGAGGCUGUCCAGAUGUGUGUGCCUAUAUAGGUAUUCCUUCUUGGAUCCAGAUUUUAAAGACCAAAUUUUCUCAAAUGCCCGGUUGCCAAGAAAAUGAAGGGGAAGCACAGAAGAAUGCAGUAGAGUUCAUAUAAUUGUGAACUUCAUAUUGGAUGGGCUAUUGACAAGCAAAAUCAAGUUCCAGACAGAACAUAAUCCCACGUCUCUUCAGUACUUGCAAAUAAGAGGAUACCCUGAUCUUGUAUAAAUGCAAUUGUUCCCUCUCAACUCCAAAAAUAGCGAUCAAUGGUGUGUUAUUUUAAUGACAGUGGUACUACACAUAUACGGUCAGCUUUGAUUGAAGAAUUUUCCAAUGAAGAAAAGGAGAGUAAAAGAAGAUUGAUCCUCAGUAAUUCACAUUUUUACAAAGUCCGUUAUCAUAUUUUCAUGACCUCUUCAGUUUGCCUUCUUGAAUAGGCAAAGAUGACUCUUAGCUACCUUUGUAUUUAUCUCAUGUAAGAACAUGACAUUUUGAGGUAGUUCGUGGUUAUUGAAUAUGUAUUGAAUCUUACAACAUCAUAAUAUAUUUUUAGUUGGCUGCUUAUGUACAUGUUUUAACUUUGCUUCAUUCGAUAUCAAACUAAAUUAAUCACUACUUUUUUCCUUUUCUUUCUCUAUGUCUCAUUUUAAGUACCGAGGAUCAGCAUAGAAGACUUAUUAUGAGAAAUAAAGUAUGAUAUGACCAUGGAAAAACAUGUGAGCUUGCACUGAUUGGGAGCCCCUGUAAAAAAAACCUGGUCUAUUUUGCACUAACCCAGUGGACUACCUUCAAAAGAUGAAGGGGAAGCAGAGAAGAAUGCAGCAGAGUUCAUAGAUUAAAAAACAUAGUCUGGCAAGUCUCUGAUUAUGAACUUCGGAUUGGAUGGGCUGUUGGCAAGGAGAAAUUUUUAACAGUUUUGUAAAGAGGAUUGCUUCUGUGCAGUAGCCAUUUAUACAGACAUGGCAGAAGAGAUUUCCUCUGUCCUGUGGAAGACAGAGCAAAAGUCUUGCAAAGAGGCCCAGAUAAGUCUACCUUGAUCCUUGUUGGGUCGCUACUUCCUUGGCAACUCAGUGUUCUUCAAUCUCUUUUUGGGGAUAGCUAUAGCUGUGGGUGCUGUCUUCUGAUAAUGUAAGAAACUGCUCAGUCUCCAGUUUGUUUCAAACAUACUGGGGACUACUACUGUUAUACUCUUAGUUUGUAUCCACAUUAUAACAUUGAACCUAAGGAAAUUUUUUUAAAAA